Molecule: long non-coding RNA, 127 nt
Organism: Etheostoma spectabile (orangethroat darter)
Lineage: Eukaryota; Metazoa; Chordata; Actinopteri; Perciformes; Percidae
Exons: 3
Source: RefSeq, a predicted model, not a curated record
UUGCCAAUUAUCUAUUCCAAAGCUGUAGGAGGAGCUCUAUAGAGAAACCUAAACAGCGAAGAAAUUGCCAAAACUGCAUGGUGCCCCUUUAAAAGGGUCUAUCUCGGACGAGCCCCCAUUUGUUAAA